RNAcentral lists this ribosomal RNA (254 nucleotides) under uncultured bacterium. RNAcentral's name for it is "partial 16S ribosomal RNA". It matches the Rfam family "Bacterial small subunit ribosomal RNA", at positions 524 to 776 of the family's 1533-position model. The record is from RNAcentral.
UACGGGGGGAGCAAGCGUUGUUCGGAUUUACUGGGCGUAAAGGGCGCGUAGGCGGCCACCGCAAGUCGGUUGUGAAAUCUCUGGGCUUAACCCAGAAAGGUCAACCGAUACUGCGGGGCUAGAGUGCAGAAGGGGCAACUGGAAUUCUCGGUGUAGCGGUGAAAUGCGUAGAUAUCGAGAGGAACACCUGCGGCGAAGGCGGGUUGCUGGGCUGACACUGACGCUGAGGCGCGAAAGCUAGGGGAGCGAACGGG